This 69-nucleotide transfer RNA is filed under the name Tyto alba (common barn owl). RNAcentral's name for it is "tRNA-Asp". Lineage: Eukaryota; Metazoa; Chordata; Aves; Strigiformes; Tytonidae. RNAcentral also lists the same sequence under 11 other names. The record is from RNAcentral.
GAGACAUUAGUAAACCAAUUACGCAGCCUUGUCAAGGCCGUAUCACAGGUGAAAACCCUGUAUGCCUCC